AGUGAACGCUGGCGGUAGGCCUAUCACAUGCAAGUCGAACGGCAGCACAGUAAGAGCUUGCUCUUACGGGUGGCGAGUGGCGGACGGGUGAGGAAUACAUCGGAAUCUACUUUUUCGUGGGGGAUAACGUAGGGAAACUUACGCUAAUACCGCAUACGACCUACAGGUGAAAGCAGGGGAUCUUCGGACCUUGCGCGAUUGAAUGAGCCGAUGUCGGAUUAGCUAGUUGGCGGGGUAAAGGCCCACCAAGGCGACGAUCCGUAGCUGGUCUGAGAGGAUGAGCAGCCACACUGGAACUGAGACACGGUCCAGACUCCGACGGGAGGCAGCAGUGGGGAAUAUUGGACAAGGGGCGCAAGCCUGAUCCAGCCAUACCGCGUGGGUGAAGAAGGCCUUCGGGUUGUAAAGCCCUUUUGUGGGGAAAGAAAAGCAGCAGGUUAAUACCCCGCUGUUCUGACGGUACCCAAAGAAUAAGCACCGGCUAACUUCG
Molecule: ribosomal RNA, 490 nt
Filed under: uncultured bacterium
Lineage: Bacteria
Description: partial 16S ribosomal RNA
Rfam family: Bacterial small subunit ribosomal RNA
Source: RNAcentral